UGCUAGCCCGAGCUCUAUCGAUGAUCGCUACUGACUGCUCGAUCUGCAUGCUAGUCGAGAGAGUAGAUCAUGUGUCAGCGAUAUGCGUAAGAUCGAGAUCCUGUGAGAGCGUCUUGACGACACUGCGUAGUGCGAUGCUGGCACACAGAUAAUCUUGUGUCACGCGUAGCGAGUCGUCUGUCGUCGUCCAUGUACUCCUCUGAGCUAUGAGUAUUCGACGCUAGUGAGUACGAGCAGAUACACUCACUGACUGUCGCGCCGCUACCGUCGUGCGGUAUCAUCGAUGCACGCACGUAGCUAGCUGUCAGACAUCUACGAGCAUCACAGACAGACUGGUCUCUAGACACAUGAGACAGUGCUGCAUGCUGUCGUCAGCUCGUGUCGUGAGAUGUAUAUUGUCCGCACGAGCGCACACUAUCUUGUGCAUCAGUCGGCUAACACUCUAGAUAGACUGCGAGGAUAACCUGAGAAGGUGAGAUGACGUCAAGUCAUCAUGGCCUUAUGCCCAGGGCUACACACGUGCUACAAUGCUCAUACAUGAGAAGCGAGACCGCGAGAUGGAGCGGUCUCAUAAAGUGCGUCGUAGUCGGAUGUAGUCUGCACUCGCCUACAUGAAGUCGGAAUCGCUAGUAUCGUAGAUCAGAAUGCCACGUAAAUAGGUCCCCGGUCUUGGACCCCACGGCCCUCAACACAUUGGGACUGGGUGCACCCAGAGUAGUAGCUGACUGCGGAGAGCGCAGUAUAGUGAG
Molecule: ribosomal RNA, 749 nt
Filed under: Trabulsiella guamensis
Lineage: Bacteria; Pseudomonadati; Pseudomonadota; Gammaproteobacteria; Enterobacterales; Enterobacteriaceae
Description: partial 16S ribosomal RNA
Rfam family: Bacterial small subunit ribosomal RNA (bases 275-665)
Source: RNAcentral